GUAUAAUGAAUGCAGGGUGUGCGUGUGCGCGCUGGAUGACGUGUGUGUGAGUGCUGGAUGAUGUGUGUGUGUGUGCUGGAUGAUGUGUGUGCGAGUGCUGGAUGAUGUGUGUGUGUGUGCUGGAUGAUGUGUGUGUGUGUGUGCUGGAUGAUGUGUGUGUGUGUGUGCUGGAUUAUGUGUGUGUGAGUGCUGGAUGAUGUGUGUGAGUGCUGGAUGAUGUGUGUGUGAGUGCUGGAUGAUGUGUG
This 245-nucleotide long non-coding RNA is filed under the name Pelobates cultripes (western spadefoot toad). Lineage: Eukaryota; Metazoa; Chordata; Amphibia; Anura; Pelobatidae. The record is from RNAcentral.